Molecule: long non-coding RNA, 558 nt
Filed under: Pongo abelii (Sumatran orangutan)
Lineage: Eukaryota; Metazoa; Chordata; Mammalia; Primates; Hominidae
Description: lincRNA
Source: RNAcentral
CCCUUCCAAGUUCUCAUGGUGAGUGGCUGGGAUGAGGGCGGCGCUCACGGUGAGGAAGCCCGGAGCUCCCGGGACGCAGACAGGGUGUGCAGGGCCGUAGCUCGGGCUUGUGUAUGCGCGUGUGCGUGUGUGAGUGUUUCACGCCGGGACAAGGCGGCGGUGUGCGCGGCGAGAAGGCUGCGACAGCCGUAUAGACCCCAGCUGCAGUGAAAUGGCCACCAAAAAGGGAAGGGAUAAUCGAGUGGUGGAAUAAAAUCUGCAAACAGAAAAAGCACAGACCUGUUUUCGGAACGAGGCUUUUCGAGUUACCACCAUGACUGAAGGCUAAGAGCAACUUGCUUGCGGAUUAAAGAUCACUUGGAGAGAGAGGUCCAGUGAGCAACAACGGCCAGAAAUUUCAGGGAGACCAUCUUGGAACAUCCAGCCUCCGCCAAGCCAACAGCUGACAGCUGUCACAUGAAUAUGAUCAGCAGAAGAACCACUCAGCUCCCAUGUCUUGACCAACUUUACAUUCCCCUCUAGGACCUUAUGGGCACAUGAGUUCCUAUCAUUUCAUGG